Molecule: ribosomal RNA, 428 nt
Filed under: uncultured bacterium
Lineage: Bacteria
Description: partial 16S ribosomal RNA
Rfam family: Bacterial small subunit ribosomal RNA
Source: RNAcentral
GUCGAGAAUCUUCCGCAAUGCGCGAAAGCGUGACGGAGCGACACCGCGUGAUGGAUGAAGUCCUUCGGGGCGUAAACAUCUUUUAUAAAGGAGGAAAUUUUUGACGUUACUUUAUGAAUAAGGGGCUCCCAAUCUCGUGCCAGCAGGAGCGGUAAUACGAGAGCCUCAAGCGUUAUCCGGAAUCAUUGGGCGUAAAGGGUGCGUAGGUGGUUUGAUUAGUCUCCCGUUAAAACUUCGAGCUUAACUCGAAAAGAGCGGGGGAAACGGUCAAACUAGAGUAUGUGAGAGGUGUGUGGAACUCAUGGUGUAGGGGUGAGAUCCGUUGAUAUCAUGGGGAACACCAAAAGCGAAGGCAGCACACUGGCACAUCACUGACACUGAGGCACGAAACCUAAGGUAGCGAAUGGGAUUAGAAACCCCAGUAGUCC